Molecule: ribosomal RNA, 1122 nt
Filed under: Triticum aestivum (bread wheat)
Lineage: Eukaryota; Viridiplantae; Streptophyta; Magnoliopsida; Poales; Poaceae
Description: partial small subunit ribosomal RNA
Source: RNAcentral
AUGAAAGGAAAGAUAGUUGAAGCAGAACCAUCCGACCGCCAGCAAUCCAAGGACAAGGGAAAGAAAGUGGUGUUUGAGAAAUCUGAGUUUCUGCCACUUGUUUACAAGGGAAAACAGAAGAUGGUAGAGACACUCAACUCCAAGCUACCUGAGAAAAGAGGCGGCAUUGCGGUCAUAUUGGCGUCAGCGUCAUCUUCAACGGGAAGGCCCACCAACACUCGGAAUAUACUUGGAGCUGAUGCUCCUGAGUUUGUCCCCUCACUGGCCCAUAAACCUAGUGAGGAACACUUGGGAAUAAUGCAAAAACACUCUGUGGAAUGGAAGGGAAUGUGCCUUACAUCUGGUGACCUCAAAACAGGCCACAUAAAUCCAGCAUCUGCACCAUCAGUUCCUCUGUUUGAAGAAGCACCCAUCUUACGAGAGUCCUUUGAAGGUUCGUUUGAUCUAGUGUGACAUCAACGGUGAUAGAGAAAUGUCCGUCGAUCUUGGAUUGAUCUUCCAGCUACCGUAGAUCAAGAGGCGGCGCGACACCGUUCUCAUGUGAGCAAGUCCGUCAAGGGGAGAUGGAAAAACACUCGUCCAAAGAUCCAAGUUCGGAAUCUAGAUGACUCAUAUGUUGUUCUUCCCGGUGCAUCCACAUCACAAAAUGAUGAGGGUGGUGCCAUCAUGCGACUGGCGGAGGCCCUGGCCCAACGGCGUGAGUACCAGGAAUUCAUUCAAAUGAUGAGGGUGGUUCAAGAGUAUGUGAACCAAGCUACUCAUGUCCGUUCAAGAAGGGCGGCGUACAAAGAAAGAGAAAGGGCAGUACGAGCAAGGUCUGGGUCAAGCAGAGUCCAAGGGGCAGAACACGCUCCAUCUAAUGAGGAUAGUCGGGCUAAAACCAAGAAUAAAUCAUUUGAGGUGUUCCAAGCAAUGCCAAUUGGUGUCAGGGUGGCGUUAGACAAGACCAGCAAAACAUCCUCCACAUCAACACAUUUCAAGAGGAAGAAGGCACGCAAAACUGUUGUAGAGGGUCCUCGUCGUAAGACACAAAGCCAAAAAGGUUCAGAUUAUGAAGAACUUGGGUCCAGCUAUGGUGGGUCUUAUAAUCCCCUAUCAGACAGUACCCCUUGUCCUUCUUAA